GGCCCAAAUUUGAAGUAGAGUAGAUUAGUAUGGUCAGCUAAUCUUACUAAUUUACUUUACUUCAAGUUUGUACCC
Molecule: non-coding RNA, 75 nt
Organism: Haemonchus contortus (barber pole worm)
Lineage: Eukaryota; Metazoa; Nematoda; Chromadorea; Rhabditida; Trichostrongylidae
Source: Rfam